AGCGUGAACGUAACGAUCAUGUAUUCGGUACGCGGCAGCACUCGAGUUCCCACAAGAAAAACGGAGCUUUUGCAACGCGAGCGAAAUCGGCCGGUUAGUCGACUGGCUGGCUGUGUUGGCUGGUCGUUCAGCAGCUGCAGAAAAGCGUAUCGUGUUCUCCACGAGGUGUCUUGCUUUGCCGGGAUUUUAUCGCGUGGCCCCCUUCGUGGCGUUAUACCCUGUGCUCGCUCUGUUCGCUCUGGUGCACGCGCACGAGCCGCCGCUGCCCUCUCUGUCUUACUGUGAUCUAGGCUAACCGCGUUCGUCGUUCCUCGUAAGUAGGAGCAUAACCCCAUCGCUGUAACGUACCACGGUACCAUCGUCAUCUCGAGUAUCGUUACUGCCGUGCCACCAAUACGCUGCAGCGUGACAAGCACUUCCAACCACACGCUCCUUCCUUCGUUAUCGAGUAACGAAGCGUUCGAACAUCGAAUUUAAAGGUACAAAAUGAAAGGAGAAAACAGGAUUACUCUUCCGUAGCAAACUAAAUGAGCUCGUUGCAACAUCCAUAACAAGCAGAGCAGGAUACGAGAGAGCUUCUGAGAGAUUCAGUAAUCAGUCGCAACAUUGUUGCCCGGUUUCGGGCAGAAAACCAGCGAGAAAGUGCAGAAGAAGGAAUCGAGGCCACUUGUCGAAUGGAGAUCAACUUUUCGAUGGACCUCGAAAUCCCAACUCGACCAGUGAGAGAAUCGUAUUGCCAGCAGCAUCUCUCCCGAUGCGAUCGAGAGAUCGACCGGCCGUAAAAUCAAAUUAAUCGUACGAUCACGCGUGCCAGCUACUCUCUGUGUACGUGCAAGUAUACGCGACCACAUGGGUGUGAUCCACGCUGGUGUGCGUCCGCGUGUGGGUGUGGUCCGUUGUGUUACGUGACCUCGUGGUUGUCGUAUGGCUGAAUAGGCUCGUCAAUGGCUCGUUUCAUUGAAUUAAAUAGGCCAUUCGUGCACGAGCAUAAUUACCGAACGGCCAGAGAAAGAGAAAAAGAAAAGAAAUUUAUACGAGAUCGUCUCGACUAAACGAACGAAACGGUUUCGAUUAUCCUGUUUUGAGAUGAAUUUUAAGGUCAAUACACGUGUAAAAGAUAAAGAUAGAAAGGCGAUAGAAAUAAAUAUUCUGAAAAGUGGGUAAGAAAUCGUUCGCUUAGAGAUUCUGUUGAUCGACCGUAAUGAGGACUGCGAAAAGAGAAAAAGAAGAACUGCUGAUUACAUGUUUCAACAUCGAUUGUUGCGUAAAGCGAGGCGUCUGUUGGCAAACCGGCACGAUCGUGGAACCGUAUUGUUGAGUGAGGCUGUUCUACAUUUUUGGAGAACGAAUUAGGUUACUGGUCGAUACUAUUGCAUUCGAUCGCGAAUGAUUUUGCACUGCGUUUGACAUUAGAACUAACCACAGCUAUAAUAUAUAUAUAUGUGUGUGUGUAUAUAUAUUGUUUUAAAAUUUUUCGAUGAAAAUUUUGUAUAAUUUUUAGACAAAUUUCUCCGGCUCGUUAUAUAGUUUCAGUAGGAAAAUUAAACGAGGGAAAUUCGCAGAAAGCGUGGAGGAAACGUUAAAACGACAUAACGAGCGGAUUACUCGAGCAAAAGUGCGAACAGCAAAUGUUUAAUGCUACCCGAGGCAUUUAAAUGGUUAAUCUCGCGCGCCGUUCCGGAAAUAUUUCUCACAAAAGGCGAGUUAACUCGUCAUCGUGUCCAAGUCCACGUUUAAAAGGUUAAACGUGUACACUGCACGAAUUCUGGAAAUUUCAUUGCUCAACGAUGAGAGAUGAUGAACUUAUUAUCCGUGUAAUUGCCCAGAAAACAUAAAUCGUCGAAUAGCAAAGAGAAUCGUUACUCGCCGUAAAACCAACGAAGAACAAAUGAAAUAAAGACGUUUAUUAGUUGCGAUAAUCUCUAUUUGCUGAUCGUAAAAAUUGUUAUGAAUUCUGUAUGAAUUUCCGUAGAUAUUUUUAUCUUGACGUCUAAAAUUUUUUAUAUUUUAAUGUACGAUAAAAAGUACAAAAUUCUCGUGAAACAAACAGGAAGAUAUACGACGCGAACAAAUUCUGCACCGUAUAACCGUUUUCGUUCGUAAUCUGACUCUAUUAUCGUACUUGAUCUACGGAACCUGUAUGAGACCGGCAGGUGUCUCAUACAAUACUUAUGAUUAAGACAUCUAAUACUGCUGAAGAGGGGUGUACGCUUGCUCCAAAUCGCAAGUAGAAUGCGUUUGCGACGUCGUCGCCCCGCGAUAAGUGGACCGAGACCAAGUCCUGUCUCGUCACAGUGAGUCUUUUGUACGUGGCUCCACGAUCUGUCAGAUAACAAGUAGUCGUGUUUUUACAUAUUAAUCAUUAAUGAAGAUCGUAAUUGUAGCAUAUUAAACCAUCGGUCGUCAUUCUAUCGAUGAAAUAGAGAACUUUAAUAGCGAAUAGUCGAACACAACUGGCAAUUCUAUAAAUUUUGAAAAUCAUAUUUAUUUCACAAAUUUUAUAUUUGGUAUCGAUAAUCGGUUGGAUUAGUAAUGAGAUUAAGAAUAGAUUAUGUUUCCUCCGGUAAUAAUAAUAAUAAUAAUAAUAAUAAACUGUAUACUCUGAUGUCUGCUUCGUUAUAAUUCCAUAAAUAUCAUAGAGUCUAUAUAUUUAGAAUUUAUUGGAAUUAGGAAUUUGAUUUUCUCCGAAAUAAAGUAUCGUAUGAAAAAAUUGUUCUCUAUAUUUUUUUGAGCAGAAUUUGUCCUCUGAGAGGUUGUUGAUACGUCUAAUCAAAUUAUUCUGAUUUUGUUGUCUUACGCACGACUCUAGGAACACGGUGUUCGACAGAAGAUAUUUUUACGAGCGAUGACAACAUUCGAGCGACGAUUACUCGGUUACAGUUACGUUAACGAGCAGUUUCGUAAUGACGUGGCGAGCUAGGCCAGACCAGAUAGGCCAGGUCUCCGGGAAAGCUGCUGGCAUUUAGGUCCACGGUUUACAUAUUUGUAAAUAUAUCUCCAGGGCCGUGCUAAAAAAUUCAUUCCCGGCUAGGUUCGUCGCGUUUAAAUUCGGCCUGACCUUAAGGUGAAGUGGUCUCAGCUGGAUCGGCAAACCAGUCACGCCUUGGGAUUUCUUUCUCUUUCAAGUUUUGUUAACCUUUCGAAUCGCGAAAGGGUUGCACAUGCAGAAAGGUUACCCCGUUUCAAAUACUGGAAUAUUGCAAAGAACAGACCUUUCAGUUUCGUUGAGAGUAAGCUUCUUGGGUUUGAUUUUGUUCGCCUGAUGUACACGGAACACGAAUAAUUUGGAAAUUUAAAUAUUUGAAAGUUUGGCAUCUGAAAAUUCAGAAAUUUGGACACUCGUAAGAUUUUUGAAAUCUGGAGAUUAGAAAAUUAACAAAUUCGGAAUAUCGUAAAUUUAAAAAUGUAGAAAUUUGAAGAUUCACGGAUACUGAAAUUCUGACCAUAGCUAGCAAGUUCGCAUUGAAAAUUUAUAUAUCGCGUAACUAAUGUUCUGCAAACAUGGUAAUUUAGAAAACAUGAGUCUGCAUUUUAGUAAAGUAGAGGUAUACCGGUACAUUAUCAUAGACAUAUGGAUUUAGAGAGAGUGUAAAAAAAGUUGUAACAUGCUAACCUGUUAAUGGAGUCGUUUGCUAAUCAUUUCGUAUCCUGUCUUAACGAUGCUGUCUUCAUUUUCAUUGCCUUUCCAUUUGCUUAAAAAAGGGUAACUACUUUCAAGGAAUGAAAAACGGGAUUUUGUUUUAAAAUGUUGGCAGCUCAUUAACGAAGAGACCUUCACAUUUCAUAUUUUUGCUAGAACUCGUUCAUAACAAGCCAUACCAACUUAAGACCUUCACAUUUCCUACUUUUACUACAAUUUUUUGUUCAUACUAUCUACUACGUCUACUAUACAGCUGUUUAUUUAUGUUCAUAUAUUGCUUAGCUCUCACUAACCUACGCUCAUACGACAUUUUCGUCUUACUUUUACUUUUACUCCCUCGCUUUUACUUUACUCUCACUUUUGCCCAUAAAACACGCAGACAAAAACCAGAAACCUCUGGUGCACCCUAUGCGUAUAGCAUUGACAAUUAAUUGACGAAGAAAGUGUAUCGAUGCUACAUUAAUAUAUAAAAAGUACCGACCAAGAGAUCUAACAAAUUUAACCUUAAAAAUUAAAUUUAUCCGAGUCUUUAA
This is a long non-coding RNA of Bombus terrestris (buff-tailed bumblebee), 4173 nucleotides long. RefSeq lists it as uncharacterized. Lineage: Eukaryota; Metazoa; Arthropoda; Insecta; Hymenoptera; Apidae. The transcript has 3 exons. The record is from RefSeq and is a predicted model, not a curated record.